CGGUGGAGCAUGUGGUUUAAUUCGACGCAACGCGAAGAACCUUACCUGGGUUUGACAUCCCGAUCGUACUCUAUGGAAACAUAGGGUCAGUUCGGCUGGAUCGGUGACAGGUGCUGCAUGGCUGUCGUCAGCUCGUGUCGUGAGAUGUUGGGUUAAGUCCCGCAACGAGCGCAACCCUUGUCCUUAGUUGCCACCAUUCAGUUGGGCACUCUAAGGAGACUGCCGGUGUUAAACCGGAGGAAGGUGGGGAUGACGUCAAGUCCUCAUGGCCCUUAUAUCCAGGGCUACACACGUGCUACAAUGGCCGGUACAAAGGGUCGCAAUACCGCGAGGUGGAGCUAAUCCCAAAAAGCCGGUCUCAGUUCGGAUUGGAGUCUGCAACUCGACUCCAUGAAGUCGGAAUCGCUAGUAAUCGUGGAUCAGCAUGUCACGGUGAAUACGUUCCCGGGUCUU
RNAcentral lists this ribosomal RNA (453 nucleotides) under uncultured Geothermobacter sp. RNAcentral describes it as "bacterial SSU rRNA". It matches the Rfam family "Bacterial small subunit ribosomal RNA", at positions 930 to 1382 of the family's 1533-position model. Lineage: Bacteria; Pseudomonadati; Thermodesulfobacteriota; Desulfuromonadia; Desulfuromonadales; Geothermobacteraceae. The record is from RNAcentral.